RNAcentral lists this ribosomal RNA (472 nucleotides) under uncultured bacterium. Its description in RNAcentral is "bacterial SSU rRNA". It matches the Rfam family "Bacterial small subunit ribosomal RNA", at positions 355 to 825 of the family's 1533-position model. The record is from RNAcentral.
UGGGGAAUUUUGGACAAUGGGCGAAAGCCUGAUCCAGCAAUGCCGCGUGCAGGAAGAAGGCCUUCGGGUUGUAAACUGCUUUUGUACGGAACGAAAAGGCUCUUUCUAAUAAAGAGGGCCCAUGACGGUACCGUAAGAAUAAGCACCGGCUAACUACGUGCCAGCAGCCGCGGUAAUACGUAGGGUGCGAGCGUUAAUCGGAAUUACUGGGCGUAAAGCGUGCGCAGGCGGUUCUAUAAGACAGAUGUGAAAUCCCCGGGCUCAACCUGGGAAUGGCAUUUGUGACUGUAGAGCUAGAGUACGGUAGAGGGGGAUGGAAUUCCGCGUGUAGCAGUGAAAUGCGUAGAUAUGCGGAGGAACACCGAUGGCGAAGGCAAUCCCCUGGACCUGUACUGACGCUGAGGUGCGAAAGCGUGGGGAGCAAACAGGAUUAGAUACCCAUGUAGUCCCUGAGCGGGCUGGCAAGGCGCAU